UAUAAAUGUUAAGAUAGCUUCCCCCUCAUUCGUUUUCUCAGUGUUCCGUUUUCUUUCAUUAAACUGUUUGCGGAGAGAAAGCGACGGCCCAUCUAGUUUAAAUUUUGGGUACACUUUUAAACCAGCUGGCGGGGCGUGGGUGGCGUAGGGCGCGCUGCAGGCUGGGUACUGGAGUUGUUUGUCCUUUUGUCGGUGAUUAUACCAGGUGGUGGAAAGGAACAGUAAACAGCGCCAUCUUCCUCCUGGUCACAAAAUUACAAGGCAUCAAUUCCAGAGAGGCCGCAGCGGGGGAGGUCGUCUGGUGGUGGCGGCGCGGCGUGGUUGCCUGCUACGUAGAACACCAUCGCCAUCCCCAUCUCAACGUGGAAGAGGCGCAUGUUCGAAGUUCCGGUUCACCUGUCCUGAGGCAUCGAGCUCCUGAACCUGUAAAGCAGAGAGAGAGAGAGAGAGAGAGAGGUUAAUUGUCUAUUCCAUUAUUCCCUGUGAACAUUUAAUAAAAGGGUUCAG
RNA transcript from Scylla paramamosain (green mud crab), 507 nucleotides. RefSeq lists it as uncharacterized. The record is from RefSeq and is a predicted model, not a curated record. Lineage: Eukaryota; Metazoa; Arthropoda; Malacostraca; Decapoda; Portunidae. The transcript has 3 exons.